AGCUUCGGUGCAAUCCGAAAAAGAAUA
Molecule: transfer RNA, 27 nt
Filed under: Lepilemur ruficaudatus (red-tailed sportive lemur)
Lineage: Eukaryota; Metazoa; Chordata; Mammalia; Primates; Lepilemuridae
Description: partial tRNA-Gly
Source: RNAcentral